RNAcentral lists this ribosomal RNA (397 nucleotides) under uncultured bacterium. Its description in RNAcentral is "partial 16S ribosomal RNA". It matches the Rfam family "Bacterial small subunit ribosomal RNA", at positions 523 to 918 of the family's 1533-position model. The record is from RNAcentral.
AUACGUAGGUGACAAGCGUUAUCCGGAUUUACUGGGCGUAAAGGGCGUGUAGGCGGUCUUGCAAGUCAGAAGUGAAAUUCCUGAGCUCAACUCGGGCGCUGCUUCUGAAACUGCAGGACUUGAGUGCUGGAGGGGAUAGCGGAAUUCCUAGUGGAGCGGUAAAAUGCGCAGAUAUUAGGAAGAACACCGGUGGCGAAGGCGGCUAUCUGGACAGUAACGGACGCUGAGGCGCGAAAGUGGGGGGAGCAAACAGGAUUAGAUACCCUGGUAGUCCACACUGUAAACGAUGAAUGCUAGGUGUAAGAGGUAUCGACCCCUUUUGUGCCGGAGUUAACACAAUAAGCAUUCCGCCUGGGGAGUACGGCCGCAAGGUUGAAACUCAAAGGAAUUGACGGGG